RNAcentral lists this ribosomal RNA (831 nucleotides) under Acremonium potronii. RNAcentral's name for it is "eukaryotic LSU rRNA". It matches the Rfam family "Eukaryotic large subunit ribosomal RNA", at positions 69 to 932 of the family's 3401-position model. The record is from RNAcentral. Lineage: Eukaryota; Fungi; Ascomycota; Sordariomycetes; Hypocreales; Bionectriaceae.
CAGGGAUUGCCUAGUAACGGCGAGUGAAGCGGCAACAGCUCAAAUUUCGAAAUCUUGGCCUCACGGUCCGAAUUGUAAUUUGUAGAGGAUGUUUCUGGCGACGUGUCUUCCGAGUUCCCUGGAACGGGACGCCAUAGAGGGUGAGAGCCCCGUCCGGUCGUACACCUAGCCUCUGUGAAACUCCUUCGACGAGUCGAGUAGUUUGGGAAUGCUGCUCUAAAUGGGAGGUAUACGUCUUCUAAAGCUAAAUACCGGCCAGAGACCGAUAGCGCACAAGUAGAGUGAUCGAAAGAUGAAAAGCACUUUGAAAAGAGGGUUAAAUAGUACGUGAAAUUGCUGAAAGGGAAGCGCUUAUGACCAGACUUGGGCUCGGUGAAUCAUCCGGCGUUCUCGCCGGUGCACUUUGCCGUCCCAGGCCAGCAUCAGUUCGCGCCGGGGGAUAAAGGUUUCGGGAAUGUAGCUCCUUCGGGAGUGUUAUAGCCCGUUGCGUAAUACCCUGGCGUGGACUGAGGUCCGCGCUCUGCAAGGAUGCUGGCGUAAUGGUCAUCAGUGACCCGUCUUGAAACACGGACCAAGGAGUCGUCUUCGUAUGCGAGUGUUCGGGUGUCAAACCCCUACGCGUAAUGAAAGUGAACGUAGGAGAGAGCUUCGGCGCAUCUCCGACCGAUCCUGAUGUUCUCGGAUGGAUUUGAGUAAGAGCAUACGGGGCCGGACCCGAAAGAAGGUGAACUAUGCCUGUAUAGGGUGAAGCCAGAGGAAACUCUGGUGGAGGCUCGCAGCGGUUCUGACGUGCAAAUCGAUCGUCAAAUAUGGGCAUGGGGGCGAAAGACU